This 492-nucleotide ribosomal RNA is filed under the name uncultured bacterium. RNAcentral describes it as "partial 16S ribosomal RNA". It matches the Rfam family "Bacterial small subunit ribosomal RNA", at positions 29 to 507 of the family's 1533-position model. The record is from RNAcentral.
AGUGAACGCUGGCGGUAGGCCUAACACAUGCAAGUCGAACGGCAGCACAGUAAGAGCUUGCUCUUACGGGUGGCGAGUGGCGGACGGGUGAGGAAUACAUCGGAAUCUACUUUUUCGUGGGGGAUAACGUAGGGAAACUUACGCUAAUACCGCAUACGACCUACGGGUGAAAGCAGGGGAUCUUCGGACCUUGCGCGAUUGAAGUAGCCGAUGUCGGGUUAGCUAGUUGGCGGGGUAAAGGCCCACCAAGGCGACGAUCCGUAGCUGGUCUGAGAGGAUGAUCAGCCACACUGGAACUGGGCCACGGUCCAGACUCCUAAGGGAGGCAGCAGUGGGGAAUAUUGGACAAUGGGCGCAAGCCUGAUCCAGCCAUACCGCGUGGGUGAAGAAGGCCUUCGGGUUGUAAAGCCCUUUUGUUGGGAAAGAAAAGCAGCAGGUUAAUACCACGCUGUUCUGACGGUACCCAAAGAAUAAGCACCAGCUAACUUCGUG